UAGGUGAACCUGCGGAAGGAUCAUUACCGAGUUAGGGUCUUAUAGGCCCGACCUCCAACCCUUUGUUUACUACACCAUGUUGCUUUGGCGGGCCCGCCUUUUGGGGCCGCCGGGGGUUUACAAGCCCCUGGUCAGUGUYCGCCAGUAGCCUUAUUAAAUUCUUUUAUAAUUAUGUUGUCUGAGUAUAAAUAUAAAUCGUUAAAACUUUCAACAACGGAUCUCUUGGUUCUGGCAUCGAUGAAGAACGCAGCGAAAUGCGAUAAGUAAUGCGAAUUGCAGAAUUCAGUGAGUCAUCGAAUCUUUGAACGCAUAUUGCGCCCUUUGGYAUUCCGAAGGGCAUGCCUGUUCGAGCGUCAUUAUCAACCAUCAAGCCUGGCUUGUCGUUGGACCCCUUUUUACCGCUGAAAUAUGUGGUAGGUCCGAAAGAUAAUGACGGCGUCGUGUUUGACCCUAGAUGCAACGAGYUUUUUAUAGCACGCAUUGAAGUGGUCGRCCGACCCGGUCUUUAACCAUCAUUUUCUAAGGUUGACCUCGGAUCAGGUA
RNAcentral lists this ribosomal RNA (543 nucleotides) under uncultured fungus. RNAcentral describes it as "eukaryotic LSU rRNA". The stretch from base 203 to 356 matches the Rfam family "5.8S ribosomal RNA". The record is from RNAcentral. Lineage: Eukaryota; Fungi.